RNAcentral lists this ribosomal RNA (502 nucleotides) under uncultured bacterium. RNAcentral describes it as "bacterial SSU rRNA". It matches the Rfam family "Bacterial small subunit ribosomal RNA", at positions 28 to 507 of the family's 1533-position model. The record is from RNAcentral.
GAUGAACGCUAGCGGCAGGCUUAAUACAUGCAAGUUGAGGGGCAGCAUGAUAUACGCGAGUAUAUUGAUGGCGACCGGCGGACGGGUGAGUAAUAGGUAGGAGACCUACCUCAUACAGGGGGAUAGCAUAGAGAAAUCUGUGGUAAUACCCCAUGAGGUUAUAUGAAUAGAGGCAUAUAAUCAAAGCAUAAGCGAUUAUGCGGUAUGAGAGGGGCCUACUGACCAUUAGCUAGUUGGUGAGGUAAGGGCUCACCAAGGCGAGGAUGGUUAGGGGUUUUGAGAGAGAGACCCCCCACAUUGGAACUGAGAGACGGUCCAGACUCCUACGGGAGGCAGCAGUAGGGAAUAUUGGGCAAUGGGCGAAAGCCUGACCCAGCCAUGCCGCGUGAAGGAAGACGGCCUUAUGGGUUGUAAAACUUCUUUACUAACGCGAAUAAGAGGUUAGUACGAGAUAACUAAUAGGAAGGUAGUGUAGUAAAAACGCAACCGGCUAAACUCCGUG